GACGAACGCUGGCGGCGUGCCUAAUACAUGCAAGUAGAACGCUGAAGAGAGGAGCUUACUCUUCUUGGAUGAGUUGCGAACGGGUGAGUAACGCGUAGGUAACCUGCCUUGUAGCGGGGGAUAACUAUUGGAAACGAUAGCUAAUACCGCAUAACAAUGGAUGACACAUGUCAUUUAUUUGAAAGGGGCAAUUGCUCCACUACAAGAUGGACCUGCGUUGUAUUAGCUAGUAGGUGAGGUAAUGGCUCACCUAGGCGACGAUACAUAGCCGACCUGAGAGGGUGAUCGGCCACACUGGGACUGAGACACGGCCCAGACUCCUACGGGAGGCAGCAGUAGGGAAUCUUCGGCAAUGGGGGCAACCCUGACCGAGCAACGCCGCGUGAGUGAAGGAGGUUUUCGGAUCGUAAAGCUCUGUUGUAAGUCAAGAACGGGUGUGAGAGUGGAAAGUUCACACUGUGACGGUAGCUUACCAGAAAGGGACGGCUAACUACGUG
Molecule: ribosomal RNA, 497 nt
Filed under: uncultured bacterium
Lineage: Bacteria
Description: partial 16S ribosomal RNA
Rfam family: Bacterial small subunit ribosomal RNA
Source: RNAcentral